GUAACAGGAAGCAGCUUGCUGCUUCGCUGACGAGUGGCGGACGGGUGAGUAAUGUCUGGGAAACUGCCUGAUGGAGGGGGAUAACUACUGGAAACGGUAGCUAAUACCGCAUAACGUCGCAAGACCAAAGAGGGGGACCUUCGGGCCUCUUGCCAUCAGAUGUGCCCAGAUGGGAUUAGCUAGUAGGUGGGGUAACGGCUCACCUAGGCGACGAUCCCUAGCUGGUCUGAGAGGAUGACCAGCCACACUGGAACUGAGACACGGUCCAGACUCCUACGGGAGGCAGCAGUGGGGAAUAUUGCACAAUGGGCGCAAGCCUGAUGCAGCCAUGCCGCGUGUAUGAAGAAGGCCUUCGGGUUGUAAAGUACUUUCAGCGGGGAGGAAGGCGAUGUGGUUAAUAACCGCGUCGAUUGACGUUACCCGCAGAAGAAGCACCGGCUAACUCCGUGCCAGCAGCCGCGGUAAUACGGAGGGUGCAAGCGUUAAUCGGAAUUACUGGGCGUAAAGCGCACGCAGGCGGUCUGUCAAGUCGGAUGUGAUAUCCCCGGGCUCAGCCUGGGAACUGCCUCCAAACUGGCAGGCUUGAUUCUCGUAGAGGGGG
This 601-nucleotide ribosomal RNA is filed under the name Kosakonia cowanii. Its description in RNAcentral is "bacterial SSU rRNA". It matches the Rfam family "Bacterial small subunit ribosomal RNA", at positions 69 to 660 of the family's 1533-position model. Lineage: Bacteria; Pseudomonadati; Pseudomonadota; Gammaproteobacteria; Enterobacterales; Enterobacteriaceae. The record is from RNAcentral.